UAUUUUGGUCCCGGAUAUACUAUUGCUUUUAGCUAGAAAUAUACAUGCCAGUUUCCUCGCACCAGUGAGCACGCCCACUUUUGGUCUUCCCACAAGUGGGGCCGGUAUCAGGCACGGUUUAAACCCUGCCCAAAACACCUAGCCAUGCCACCCCCCCACUGGGUUUCAGCAGUAAAAAAUACUAAGCACUGAGCCAACGCUCGACUUGGUAAUAGCUACCCUGGGCCGGUAAACCCCGUGCCAGCCACCGCGGUUACACGAGGGGCCUAAAACAACAAAUAUCGGCGUAAAGCGUGACUAGAGCGAGGUUUAUUUUUAGGCUUUUAAACUGCAGCACAGCUGUAAAACGCUAUACGCAAUCAGGAAUUCGCCCCAGGCCCCAUUAACACCAACCUUAACCUCACGAAAACUAAGACCCAAACUAGGAUUAGAUACCCUACUAUGCUUAGUCGUAAACAAACGAAAUCUUUCGCUCGCCAGAAAACUACAAGCAACCAGCUUAGAACUCAAAAGACUUGACAGUAUUUCACAUCGACCUAGAGGAGCCUGUCCUACAACCGAUAAUCCACGAUCAACCUCACCCACCUUUGCAACAACAGUCUAUAUACCUCCGUCGCCAGCCCGCCUGAAAACAGAAACGAAGCGAGUGCAACAGCUCAUCACUAAGACGACAGGUCAAGGUGUAACUUAUAGGUCGGGCAGAGAUGGGCUACAUUUCCUAACAUAGAAAAUACCAAUCCCGCCAUGAAACUUGCGCAAAAAGGUGGAUUUAGCAGUAAGUCAGACAAGAAAAGCCUGCCUGAAACCCGCCCUGAAAUGUGU
RNAcentral lists this non-coding RNA (822 nucleotides) under Uroplatus sikorae. Lineage: Eukaryota; Metazoa; Chordata; Lepidosauria; Squamata; Gekkonidae. The record is from RNAcentral.